RNAcentral lists this transfer RNA (76 nucleotides) under Pelistega europaea. RNAcentral describes it as "tRNA-Lys". It matches the Rfam family "tRNA". Rfam says of the family: Transfer RNA (tRNA) molecules are approximately 80 nucleotides in length. Their secondary structure includes four short double-helical elements and three loops (D, anti-codon, and T loops). Further hydrogen bonds mediate the characteristic L-shaped molecular structure. tRNAs have two regions of fundamental functional importance: the anti-codon, which is responsible for specific mRNA codon recognition, and the 3' end, to which the tRNAs corresponding amino acid is attached (by aminoacyl-tRNA synthetases). tRNAs cope with the degeneracy of the genetic code in two manners: having more than one tRNA (with a specific anti-codon) for a particular amino acid; and 'wobble' base-pairing, i.e. permitting non-standard base-pairing at the 3rd anti-codon position. Lineage: Bacteria; Pseudomonadati; Pseudomonadota; Betaproteobacteria; Burkholderiales; Alcaligenaceae. RNAcentral also lists the same sequence under 2 other names. The record is from RNAcentral.
GGGCUGGUAGCUCAGUCGGUAGAGCAGCGGACUUUUAAUCCGUUGGUCGCGAGUUCGAGUCUCGCCCAGCCCACCA